RNAcentral lists this transfer RNA (76 nucleotides) under Streptomyces griseus. Its description in RNAcentral is "tRNA_Ala_TGC". It matches the Rfam family "tRNA". Rfam says of the family: Transfer RNA (tRNA) molecules are approximately 80 nucleotides in length. Their secondary structure includes four short double-helical elements and three loops (D, anti-codon, and T loops). Further hydrogen bonds mediate the characteristic L-shaped molecular structure. tRNAs have two regions of fundamental functional importance: the anti-codon, which is responsible for specific mRNA codon recognition, and the 3' end, to which the tRNAs corresponding amino acid is attached (by aminoacyl-tRNA synthetases). tRNAs cope with the degeneracy of the genetic code in two manners: having more than one tRNA (with a specific anti-codon) for a particular amino acid; and 'wobble' base-pairing, i.e. permitting non-standard base-pairing at the 3rd anti-codon position. RNAcentral also lists the same sequence under 9 other names. Lineage: Bacteria; Bacillati; Actinomycetota; Actinomycetes; Kitasatosporales; Streptomycetaceae. The record is from RNAcentral.
GGGGCCUUAGCUCAGUUGGUAGAGCGCUGCCUUUGCAAGGCAGAUGUCAGGAGUUCGAAUCUCCUAGGCUCCACCC